CGCCCGCAGGUGCCUGUGCCUGUGUAUCCCGACAAUAAACCAAAUCCUCUUGCUGAUUGCAUCCUGUGGUGUCUCGGUCUGGUCUUUGGAGUUAGAGGGUCUCCAUCCCCGAGGGAAAGUUCUCCCCUGAGAGCUUUUCAUUUGGGUGCGUUGGCCGGGAAAGGAGAUCCUCCACCCAGGGACCACCGACCACCCACUGGGAGCCUACUUGGGAUGACUGCCAACAGCUCUUACAGGCCCUCUUAACCUCAGAAAAAAAAAAACAAAGAGUGUUCCUAGAGGCCAGAAAACAUGUUCUGGGAGAUGAUGGGCGUCCCACCCAGCUGCCUGAGGACCAAACUGGGAUUUUAAUACAGCUGAAGCCCUUCUCUGAGGGCCCAUUUACAGGCCCUACAGAUUGUACAGAGACGUCUGGAGACCUUUGGCCGCUGCUUACCAGGACAAGCUUAAACAUCCGGUGGUGCCACACCCGUUCCAGAUUAGAGACACCGUGUGGGUGCACAGACACCAGACCAAAAAUCUCCAGCCACGGUGGAAAGGACCCUACACCGUCCUCCUGACUACCCCGACCGCCCUAAAGAUAGACAGAGUCUCGGCUUAGAUCCACACACCACACGUCAAGACAGUCCGGUCUGAAGAAUUGACUAAUCACAACACUACACCCCAGACUUAGAGAGUUCAACACACUCCAAACCCCUUAAAGUUAAAACUCCUACGUGGAUCCUCCUAGCCCUUUUGUGGCCUAGAGUCAGUGGGGGAAUAAGCCCC
RNAcentral lists this long non-coding RNA (768 nucleotides) under Rattus norvegicus (Norway rat). RNAcentral's name for it is "long non-coding RNA NONRATT029716". Lineage: Eukaryota; Metazoa; Chordata; Mammalia; Rodentia; Muridae. The record is from RNAcentral.